Anser brachyrhynchus (Pink-footed goose) is the source of this 561-nucleotide long non-coding RNA. NCBI's taxonomy places the organism in Eukaryota, Metazoa, Chordata, Aves, Anseriformes, Anatidae. The record is from Ensembl.
CACAGGCCUGAGGCCUGUGGUGAGGUGAGGCCUGGCUGGGCCUCGGCCAGGUCGCCCAGACUAAAUUUCAGCAAACCUAGCUAUGAAAUCAAGUGCCUGGGUUGCAUUUCUGGGGGCACUAAGGGACAUGAACCAAAACCAGAUAUGACUUGUUAAAGCAGAUAUGUGUUUUGGGCUGGGAGGAGAAUAUCCAUCAUUUCCAGAUGUGGACAUAUGAUCCAGGAGGCAACUGAAGCCCACCUGGAAUGACUUUAGCUUUCAGCUUUACCUCAGGCUGUACCCAGGUUAGCUUCUAGUGACUUAUGACUCCAUCAAUCUGCACAGAUAUGUGCUGUGCUCCUUCAAGGGAAGCAGUUCAUCUUCUAUAUGACUGCAUCUCCACCUCUUCCAAAGUUCAAAGAACCCAGGACAAUUGCUUAUUCGGACGGGCUUCCAGUCUGUGGUUUAAGAAGUUACCUAGUCUCCUGCUCAUGCUCCACUAACAACAAUGUAUACUCCUUUCAUUGGUGUUUAUUUAAAAGCCUGCCAAUAUAUCUGAAAUCAGCACAUACUGAAUGUUGA